Molecule: ribosomal RNA, 497 nt
Filed under: uncultured bacterium
Lineage: Bacteria
Description: partial 16S ribosomal RNA
Rfam family: Bacterial small subunit ribosomal RNA
Source: RNAcentral
GAUGAACGCUGGCGGCGUGCCUAAUACAUGCAAGUCGAGCGAACGGACGAGAAGCUUGCCUCUCUGAUGUUAGCGGCGGACGGGUGAGUAACACGUGGAUAACCUACCUAUAAGACUGGGAUAACUUCGGGAAACCGGAGCUAAUACCGGAUGAUAUUUUGUACCGCAUGGUUCAAAAGUGAAAGACGGUCUUGCUGUCACUUAUAGAUGGAUCCGCGCUGCAUUAGCUAGUUGGUAAGGUAACGGCUUACCAAGGCAACGAUGCAUAGCCGACCUGAGAGGGUGAUCGGCCACACUGGAACUGAGACACGGUCCAGACUCCUACGGGAGGCAGCAGUAGGGAAUCUUCCGCAAUGGGCGAAAGCCUGACGGAGCAACGCCGCGUGAGUGAUGAAGGUCUUCGGAUCGUAAAACUCUGUUAUUAGGGAAGAACAUAUGUGUAAGUAACUGUGCACAUCUUGACGGUACCUAAUCAGAAAGCCACGGCUAACUACGUG